Molecule: ribosomal RNA, 301 nt
Filed under: uncultured bacterium
Lineage: Bacteria
Description: partial 16S ribosomal RNA
Rfam family: Bacterial small subunit ribosomal RNA
Source: RNAcentral
CAGUAGCCGCGGGAAUAUGUAGGGUGCGAGCGUUAAUCGGAAUUACUGGGCGUAAAGCGUGCGCAGGCGGUUUUGUAAGACGGGCGUGAAAUCCCCGGGCUCAACCUGGGAAUGGCGCUUGUGACUGCAAAGCUAGAGUGCGGCAGAGGGGGAUGGAAUUCCGCGUGUAGCAGUGAAAUGCGUAGAUAUGCGGAGGAACACCGAUGGCGAAGGCAAUCCCCUGGGCCUGCACUGACGCUCAUGCACGAAAGCGUGGGGAGCAAACAGGAUUAGAUACCCCGGUAGUCCCUGUCUCUUAUAC